This 71-nucleotide transfer RNA is filed under the name Stegodyphus mimosarum. It matches the Rfam family "tRNA". Rfam says of the family: Transfer RNA (tRNA) molecules are approximately 80 nucleotides in length. Their secondary structure includes four short double-helical elements and three loops (D, anti-codon, and T loops). Lineage: Eukaryota; Metazoa; Arthropoda; Arachnida; Araneae; Eresidae. The record is from Rfam by way of RNAcentral.
GCCUUCGUGGUACAGUGGUCAGCACACUCGAAGCGUAUUAGAGGUCCGUGGUUCGAAUCCCGGCGAGGGCA